CGUGUAGGCGGCCAAACAGGUCCGUUGUGAAAACUGGAGGCUUAACCUCCAGACGUCGACGGAAACCGUGUGGCUAGAGUCCGGAAGAGGAGAGUGGAAUUCCUGGUGUAGCGGUGAAAUGCGCAGAUAUCAGGAAGAACACCAAUGGCGAAGGCAGCUCUCUGGGAUGGUACUGACGCUGAGACGCGAAAGCGUGGGAGCGAACA
This 206-nucleotide ribosomal RNA is filed under the name uncultured bacterium. Its description in RNAcentral is "partial 16S ribosomal RNA". It matches the Rfam family "Bacterial small subunit ribosomal RNA", at positions 568 to 774 of the family's 1533-position model. The record is from RNAcentral.